CCUACGGGAGGCAGCAGUGGGGAAUAUUGCGCAAUGGGCGAAAGCCUGACGCAGCGACGCCGCGUGAGGGAUGAAGGUCUUCGGAUCGUAAACCUCUGUCAGCAGGGAAGAACGGUCACUGUGCUAAUCAGCAGUGAAUUGACGGUACCUGCAAAGGAAGCACCGGCUAACUCCGUGCCAGCAGCCGCGGUAAUACGGAGGGUGCGAGCGUUAAUCGGAAUUACUGGGCGUAAAGCGCUCGUAGGCGGUAUGUCAAGUCAAGGGUGAAAUCCCCGCGCUCAACGUGGGAGCUGCCUGGGAAACAGGCAAAUUGGAGGGUGUGAGAGGAUAGUGGAAUUCCAGGUGGAGGAGUGAAAGCCGUAGAGAUAUGGAGGAACAUCAGUGGAGAAGGCGACUAUCUGGCACAUAACUGACGCUGAGGAGCGAAAGCGUGGGUAGCAAACAGGAUUAGAUACCCCAGUAGUC
This 465-nucleotide ribosomal RNA is filed under the name uncultured bacterium. Its description in RNAcentral is "partial 16S ribosomal RNA". It matches the Rfam family "Bacterial small subunit ribosomal RNA", at positions 338 to 795 of the family's 1533-position model. The record is from RNAcentral.